GUCUGUUGUGUAGUUAAAUGGACGCUGCGUCUGUUCAGUUUUUACCUCCUGUCCCUCACCAGUGCUAGAGAAUUGUGGUAUUGGACUAUUUUCUUUGGAGUAGAACUGUGGCGCGUCAUCCUUUCACAUCUUUCGGCCAGAUUGUAAUGAGAUCGGAGACAAAUUGACGGGCCAACAGACGCAAGAAAUAACCAAUUGGGCUUCUUGACGUAUACGCAAUAUUCACACAGAUGUAUUGAAGAACGACUUAUCUCUUGCUAACAUAAGAUACACACUCGUAAACGUCCUCUUCACACACUCAAACAGGUUCCUCUAACAGUGGUGAUGUGGACGACUCGGGCCUCUGGUGUGGGAUCUCUCUAUGGGGUCAUCUGCGGGGACCUCAUCCAAUGUAUAAGGAUCCUAUGCAGCUUCCUUCCUACGGCAUAGUGACCUCAAGUUGGGAGUCAUUAGAUAAAUAAGAUGUUACAACAAAACUUUGGGAAAUUGAACUGCUCCAUAACAGAUGAAAAUGAUAACUGGAGCAUGGAACGAGAGCUGCCACCAGCACUAUCACCAACACUACCAUCACCAUGGCACUAUCAUCACUGCCACCACCACAGCACCACCACCUAUGGCAAGAUGAGUUAACGACUAAACCUUAGGAAAUUGAGCAGCACCAUCACAGCUGAAAAUGAUAACUGCAAGCUGAGACAAAGAGCUAACAUUGUAGAAUUUAAUUCCUAUGAACACUAUAACACCGCCACUACUACCACAGCACCACCACCACCACAUAUGGCAAGAUGAGUUAACGUCUAAACCUUGACAAAUUAACAACUGGAUCAUGGAGACACUGCUGUUACAGGUAUGUCAAUAUCUCAAUUUUUCUAGGUAUGUCUAACUGUCUAUCUUUAUGUAUCUGUAUCUCUAUAUCUUUCUAUCAGUCUUCCAAAACCUGCAUGUCAGUCAGUCUGUCUGUUUGGUAUCUAUAUCAUCUGUCAGACUGUCUUUAUCUAUACAAGUUUCUGUCUCAUCUAUAUCUAUGCUAUCAGUCAGAAAGAUAUUGGCAGUGAGUGAGGAAGGUGGGUUCACAAGAAGUGCAAUGGAGUGGAUGGAAGACUGCAAGAUGUUGCUGAUUGUAAGUGAUAUGUAUGUGCAGGUAAAUAUGUGUCCAUGGCAAGACUGAAGAAAUUCAUCACUGAAGAUUAUCCCUGGAUUGUGUGGAUGAGUUCUGCUGCCUGGGUGACAUGAUCAGUGCUGGUGGGGGUGCUGAAGGCUGCUGUGUUCUGAGUCAUG
Long non-coding RNA from Homarus americanus (American lobster), 1275 nucleotides. RefSeq lists it as uncharacterized. The record is from RefSeq and is a predicted model, not a curated record. The transcript is spliced from 7 exons. NCBI's taxonomy places the organism in Eukaryota, Metazoa, Arthropoda, Malacostraca, Decapoda, Nephropidae.